This 269-nucleotide long non-coding RNA is filed under the name Salvia miltiorrhiza (redroot sage). RNAcentral's name for it is "long non-coding RNA (SMIL_LNC008897)". Lineage: Eukaryota; Viridiplantae; Streptophyta; Magnoliopsida; Lamiales; Lamiaceae. The record is from RNAcentral.
AAAAAGUUUACAUGAUUGUUUAAUUAUUAUUAAAAUGAUUUUAUAAAAAGAAAAGAAAAAACAAACCUAACGAAUCAUUGAAAGCACAAAAAUAACAGACUAAGAGUUGAGCCUCAUUAAAACUUCUUAAGGAAAACCCAAUGGAAAACCUUAAAGAGAGAGAGAGAAGAAAAAAAAAAGAGUACUCGUAUAGUAAAACAACGCCCCAAUAGACCAGAGACGGACAAGAAGCGAAAAGACGACAGAGAGUAAGCUUCGGACUAAUCAUC